CCUACGGGUGGCAGCAGUAGGGAAUAUUGCUCAAUGGGGGAAACCCUGAAGCAGCAACGCCGCGUGGAUGAUGACGGCCCUACGGGUUGUAAACUUCUUUUGUCAGGGAGCAAUUGAGUCCACGUGUGGGCUUAGCGAGAGUACCUGAAGAAAAAGCAUCGGCUAACUCCGUCCCAGCAGCCGCGGUAAUACGGAGGAUGCGAGCGUUAUCCGGAUUUAGUGGGGUUAAAGGGUGCGUAGGCGGAAUAUCAAGUCAGCGGUAAAAAUUCGGGGCUCAACCCCGUCGUGCCGUUGAAACUGAUGUUCUUGAGUGGGCGAGAAGUAUGUGGAAUGCGUGGUGUAGCGGUGAAAUGCAUAGAUAUCACGCAGAACUCCGAUUGCGAAGGCAGCAUACCGGCGCCCAACUGACGCUGAAGCACGAAAGCGUGGGUAUCGAACAGGAUUAGAUACCCCAGUAGUC
This 460-nucleotide ribosomal RNA is filed under the name uncultured bacterium. RNAcentral's name for it is "partial 16S ribosomal RNA". It matches the Rfam family "Bacterial small subunit ribosomal RNA", at positions 338 to 795 of the family's 1533-position model. The record is from RNAcentral.